AAAUUGAAGAGUUUGAUCAUGGCUCAGAUUGAACGCUGGCGGCAGGCCUAACACAUGCAAGUCGAACGGUAACAGGAAGCAGCUUGCUGCUUCGCUGACGAGUGGCGGACGGGUGAGUAAUGUCUGGGAAACUGCCUGAUGGAGGGGGAUAACUACUGGAAACGGUGGCUAAUACCGCAUAACGUCGCAAGACCAAAGAGGGGGACCUUCGGGCCUCUUGCCAUCAGAUGUGCCCAGAUGGGAUUAGCUUGUUGGUGAGGUAACGGCUCACCAAGGCGACGAUCCCUAGCUGGUCUGAGAGGAUGACCAGCCACACUGGAACUGAGACACGGUCCAGACUCCUACGGGAGGCAGCAGUGGGGAAUAUUGCACAAUGGGCGCAAGCCUGAUGCAGCCAUGCCGCGUGUAUGAAGAAGGCCUUAGGGUUGUAAAGUACUUUCAGCGGGGAGGAAGGUGUUG
RNAcentral lists this ribosomal RNA (459 nucleotides) under Salmonella enterica subsp. enterica serovar Mikawasima. RNAcentral describes it as "bacterial SSU rRNA". It matches the Rfam family "Bacterial small subunit ribosomal RNA", at positions 1 to 456 of the family's 1533-position model. The record is from RNAcentral. Lineage: Bacteria; Pseudomonadati; Pseudomonadota; Gammaproteobacteria; Enterobacterales; Enterobacteriaceae. RNAcentral also lists the same sequence under 1 other name.